RNAcentral lists this ribosomal RNA (1644 nucleotides) under Staphylococcus aureus. RNAcentral's name for it is "partial 23S ribosomal RNA". It matches the Rfam family "Bacterial large subunit ribosomal RNA", at positions 1282 to 2925 of the family's 2925-position model. Lineage: Bacteria; Bacillati; Bacillota; Bacilli; Caryophanales; Staphylococcaceae. The record is from RNAcentral.
UUAGAAGUGAGAAUGCCGGUGUGAGUAGCGAAAGACGGGUGAGAAUCCCGUCCACCGAUUGACUAAGGUUUCCAGAGGAAGGCUCGUCCGCUCUGGGUUAGUCGGGUCCUAAGCUGAGGCCGACAGGCGUAGGCGAUGGAUAACAGGUUGAUAUUCCUGUACCACCUAUAAUCGUUUUAAUCGAUGGGGGGACGCAGUAGGAUAGGCGAAGCGUGCGAUUGGAUUGCACGUCUAAGCAGUAAGGCUGAGUAUUAGGCAAAUCCGGUACUCGUUAAGGCUGAGCUGUGAUGGGGAGAAGACAUUGAGUCUUCGAGUCGUUGAUUUCACACUGCCGAGAAAAGCCUCUAGAUAGAAAAUAGGUGCCCGUACCGCAAACCGACACAGGUAGUCAAGAUGAGAAUUCUAAGGUGAGCGAGCGAACUCUCGUUAAGGAACUCGGCAAAAUGACCCCGUAACUUCGGGAGAAGGGGUGCUCUUUAGGGUUAACGCCCAGAAGAGCCGCAGUGAAUAGGCCCAAGCGACUGUUUAUCAAAAACACAGGUCUCUGCUAAACCGUAAGGUGAUGUAUAGGGGCUGACGCCUGCCCGGUGCUGGAAGGUUAAGAGGAGUGGUUAGCUUCUGCGAAGCUACGAAUCGAAGCCCCAGUAAACGGCGGCCGUAACUAUAACGGUCCUAAGGUAGCGAAAUUCCUUGUCGGGUAAGUUCCGACCCGCACGAAAGGCGUAACGAUUUGGGCACUGUCUCAACGAGAGACUCGGUGAAAUCAUAGUACCUGUGAAGAUGCAGGUUACCCGCGACAGGACGGAAAGACCCCGUGGAGCUUUACUGUAGCCUGAUAUUGAAAUUCGGCACAGCUUGUACAGGAUAGGUAGGAGCCUUUGAAACGUGAGCGCUAGCUUACGUGGAGGCGCUGGUGGGAUACUACCCUAGCUGUGUUGGCUUUCUAACCCGCACCACUUAUCGUGGUGGGAGACAGUGUCAGGCGGGCAGUUUGACUGGGGCGGUCGCCUCCUAAAAGGUAACGGAGGCGCUCAAAGGUUCCCUCAGAAUGGUUGGAAAUCAUUCAUAGAGUGUAAAGGCAUAAGGGAGCUUGACUGCGAGACCUACAAGUCGAGCAGGGUCGAAAGACGGACUUAGUGAUCCGGUGGUUCCGCAUGGAAGGGCCAUCGCUCAACGGAUAAAAGCUACCCCGGGGAUAACAGGCUUAUCUCCCCCAAGAGUUCACAUCGACGGGGAGGUUUGGCACCUCGAUGUCGGCUCAUCGCAUCCUGGGGCUGUAGUCGGUCCCAAGGGUUGGGCUGUUCGCCCAUUAAAGCGGUACGCGAGCUGGGUUCAGAACGUCGUGAGACAGUUCGGUCCCUAUCCGUCGUGGGCGUAGGAAAUUUGAGAGGAGCUGUCCUUAGUACGAGAGGACCGGGAUGGACAUACCUCUGGUGUACCAGUUGUCGUGCCAACGGCAUAGCUGGGUAGCUAUGUGUGGACGGGAUAAGUGCUGAAAGCAUCUAAGCAUGAAGCCCCCCUCAAGAUGAGAUUUCCCAACUUCGGUUAUAAGAUCCCUCAAAGAUGAUGAGGUUAAUAGGUUCGAGGUGGAAGCAUGGUGACAUGUGGAGCUGACGAAUACUAAUCGAUCGAAGACUUAAUCAA